RNAcentral lists this long non-coding RNA (683 nucleotides) under Salmo salar (Atlantic salmon). RNAcentral describes it as "lncRNA (ENSSSAG00000066430.2)". The record is from RNAcentral. Lineage: Eukaryota; Metazoa; Chordata; Actinopteri; Salmoniformes; Salmonidae.
UUAAAAAACAAAUUCAAACCCAAACACAUUCCAAUCAAUAACGUUCAUCAUUAAUUCAUCCUAUGGAUCUGAAAAGAUGCUUGUCGGAUCAAAUAAUAAUUUGAUCACCGAAAUAUCAAGGCAAAUGAUACCGGAUGAUCCUUUCAGGCCGCGCCGGUCCGCUUUGAAGCGGUCUUGGAGCACCGUGGGACCGUUUCCUCGUUCCCUUUGGAUCCAUCCAAGUGUACCGGAGGAUGACUUUGACCGAAUCUGUGUCAAAAUAUGGAGAGACUCGAAGAAAGCUGAAUUUGGAAUGUGGCCACAUAUGGAGGAGGACAGUAUGACCCCAGCUAAUGAACACCCACAGGCCCCACGAGCCCCACCGGCCCAGGACCGGCGCGCAGAAGAGGAUCCGGUCCCCACUGUGAGGCCUCAAAACAUCCACUGCGAAGUCCGAGACAAUGCGUGUCUUGUUACACGGUGGAAACCUAUGUUUAUCAAAAUCACGGAUCCAAGUUUAGGCCUAUUAGAAUCACCCAGCUCUUCUGUGUCGUGAGUGAUGCUAAAAUGUAGCUGUAUCCAGUCAUCAAUGGAUGUGUUCCUGAAAUAGCCUCUAGUGUUUCAGAGUGCAUAGUUACAUUAUCGGUUCAUAAAUUCUUUGCGUGUUUCGCUCACGGCGCGUUUCCCAGAGCGCGUUUCCCCGC